This 492-nucleotide ribosomal RNA is filed under the name uncultured bacterium. RNAcentral describes it as "partial 16S ribosomal RNA". It matches the Rfam family "Bacterial small subunit ribosomal RNA", at positions 29 to 507 of the family's 1533-position model. The record is from RNAcentral.
AGUGAACGCUGGCGGUAGGCCUAACACAUGCAAGUCGAACGGCAGCACAGUAAGAGCUUGCUCUUACGGGUGGCGAGUGGCGGACGGGUGAGGAAUACAUCGGAAUCUACUUUUUCGUGGGGGAUAACGUAGGGAAACUUACGCUAAUACCGCAUACGACCUACGGGUGAAAGCAGGGGAUCUUCGGACCUUGCUCGAUUGAAUGAGCCGAUGUCGGAUUAGCUAGUUGGCGGGGUAAAGGCCCACCAAGGCGACGAUCCGUAGCUGGUCUGAGAGGAUGAUCAGCCACACUGGAACUAAGACACGGUCCAGACUCCUACGGGAGGCAGCAGUGGGGAAUAUUGGACAAUGGGCGCAAGCCUGAUCCAGCCAUACCGCGUAGGUGAAGAAGGCCUUCGGGUUGUAAAGCCCUUUUGUUGGGAAAGAAAAGCAGCAGGUUAAUACCCCGCUGUUCUGACGGUACCCAAAGAAUAAGCACCGGCUAACUUCGUG